CCUACGGGAGGCAGCAGUGGGGAAUAUUGGGCAAUGGGCGCAAGCCUGACCCAGCAACGCCGCGUGAAGGAAGAAGGCUUUCGGGUUGUAAACUUCUUUUGUCAGGGACGAAGCAAGUGACGGUACCUGACGAAUAAGCCACGGCGAACUACGUGCCAGCAGCCGCGCGAAUACGUAGGUGGCAAGCGUUAUCCGGAUUUACUGGGUGUAAGGGUCGUGUAGGCGGGACUGCAAGUCAGAUGUGAAAACCACGGGCUCAACCUGUGGCCUGCAUUUGAAACUGUAGUUCUUGAGUACUGGAGAGGCAGACGGAAUUCGUAGUGUAGCGGUGAAAUGCGUAGAUAUUAGGAGGAACACCAGUGGCGAAGGCGGUAUGCUGGACAGAAACUGACGCUGAGGCGCGAAAGCGUGGGGAGCAAACAGGAUUAGAUACCCUAGUAGUC
RNAcentral lists this ribosomal RNA (443 nucleotides) under uncultured bacterium. RNAcentral's name for it is "partial 16S ribosomal RNA". It matches the Rfam family "Bacterial small subunit ribosomal RNA", at positions 338 to 795 of the family's 1533-position model. The record is from RNAcentral.